RNAcentral lists this non-coding RNA (611 nucleotides) under Pongo abelii (Sumatran orangutan). The record is from RNAcentral. Lineage: Eukaryota; Metazoa; Chordata; Mammalia; Primates; Hominidae.
UUUUUUUUCUGGAAUCCUAGAGGAUGCACGGAUACAAUUCACCCAAUGUGUCCAUCUUUCCUCUCCUGAGUGUCAGUCUAUAGAUUUCUGACCUCUAGAGGAACCCCUGAAGCUGUGCAGCUAUACUUUACCGGUUACGUCUAGACUAUAAGGGACCACAGUGUUCCAUCUCAGGCAGGUUCAGCGACCUGCAAGUAGUGAUACAGCUGGGAAAGUUACAGAGCCUGCGGGACGCUCCCGCUGCAACUUCAGUUCCGACCAGAGGUUCUGCGAACCUCCAGGAUUUAGCAGGUUUCCAGGACCGGCUAUAGACAUUCCUAAGAAGCACGCAGUCAGCAUUGAUGAGAGUGGAAUCAAGCUAUGGAAUUCUCAUUUGGAGUCUGCUGCCAGUUUCUGAACAGUGAAGCGGGAGAGUUCUGAACAGUGAAGCAGGAGCUCUGUAUUCAGCGAGACUCUGGGGCCUGGAAAGUGGGAUUACAGCAUCCAUUUUGUCUAAUUGCUUUCCUUCUUUCUUUUAUGUGGCUGCUAAAGCCCCAUGACCUUCACUAUUUAACUGCUUCAUCAGAGUGAAAGAAUUGCCUUGAUGUUCAUAAGGAUUACUUUUUUCGCAC